UCAAGUCAUCAUGGCCCUUACGAGUAGGGCUACACACGUGCUACAAUGGCGUAUACAGAGGGCAGCGAUACCGCGAGGUGGAGCGAAUCUCACAAAGUACGUCGUAGUCCGGAUUGGAGUCUGCAACUCGACUCCAUGAAGUCGGAAUCGCUAGUAAUCGCAAAUCAGAAUGUUGCGGUGAAUACGUUCCCGGGCCUUGUACACACCGCCCGUCACACCAUGGGAGUGGGCUGCAAAAGAAGCAGGUAGUUUAACCUUCGGGAGGACGCUUGCCACUUUGUGGUUCAUGACUGGGGUGAAGUCGUAACAAGGUAGCGCUAGGGGAACCUGGCGCUGGAUCACCUCCUUACACGA
RNAcentral lists this ribosomal RNA (354 nucleotides) under Vibrio cholerae. RNAcentral describes it as "bacterial SSU rRNA". It matches the Rfam family "Bacterial small subunit ribosomal RNA", at positions 1185 to 1533 of the family's 1533-position model. The record is from RNAcentral. Lineage: Bacteria; Pseudomonadati; Pseudomonadota; Gammaproteobacteria; Vibrionales; Vibrionaceae.